RNAcentral lists this unclassified non-coding RNA (202 nucleotides) under uncultured fungus. RNAcentral describes it as "sequence contains ITS1". The record is from RNAcentral. Lineage: Eukaryota; Fungi.
UUACUUUCGUUUUUCAAUAGUAUUGACAUCAUCAUCCUAAGUUUUAAUACAAAGUGUUUUUGGUAAGGGGCUGGCAAAGAGACAGUGAAGUCCCUUAUUAAGCUUCCUCGGUUUCUAGUGCACAUGUGUUUGUAAUGAGUGGCAGGCCUCUUGCGAGCGCCCUAACUCUUAAAUGAUCCAUCUGCAGGUUCACCUACAGAUA